GUAUCCUGUCUGAAUAUGGGGGGACCAUCCUCCAAGGCUAAAUACUCCUGACUGACCGAUAGUGAACCAGUACCGUGAGGGAAAGGCGAAAAGAACCCCGGCGAGGGGAGUGAAAAAGAACCUGAAACCGUGUACGUACAAGCAGUGGGAGCACAGAGCAAUCUGUGUGACUGCGUACCUUUUGUAUAAUGGGUCAGCGACUUAUAUUCUGUAGCAAGGUUAACCGAAUAGGGGAGCCGAAGGGAAACCGAGUCUUAACUGGGCGUUAAGUUGCAGGGUAUAGACCCGAAACCCGGUGAUCUAGCCAUGGGCAGGUUGAAGGUUGGGUAACACUAACUGGAGGACCGAACCGACUAAUGUUGAAAAAUUAGCGGAUGACUUGUGGCUGGGGGUGAAAGGCCAAUCAAACCGGGAGAUAGCUGGUUCUCCCCGAAAGCUAUUUAGGUAGCGCCUCGUGAAUUCAUCUCCGGGGGUAGAGCACUGUUUCGGCAAGGGGGUCAUCCCGA
RNAcentral lists this ribosomal RNA (506 nucleotides) under Escherichia coli. Its description in RNAcentral is "partial 23S ribosomal RNA". It matches the Rfam family "Bacterial large subunit ribosomal RNA", at positions 429 to 934 of the family's 2925-position model. The record is from RNAcentral. Lineage: Bacteria; Pseudomonadati; Pseudomonadota; Gammaproteobacteria; Enterobacterales; Enterobacteriaceae.